Molecule: microRNA precursor, 126 nt
Filed under: Gossypium hirsutum (cotton)
Lineage: Eukaryota; Viridiplantae; Streptophyta; Magnoliopsida; Malvales; Malvaceae
Description: MIR7502 microRNA precursor family
Rfam family: MIR7502 microRNA precursor family
Source: Rfam by way of RNAcentral
UAUUAAAAAAAUUCAUCUAUUUCUGCUAUUAAAAAUUGGCCUAGGUGACGGAAAUAACCAGACAAUUACACUUGACAUGCCAGAUGGAUCAAUUUUUAAUAGUAGAAAUUGAUGUAAUUUUUAACA